RNAcentral lists this long non-coding RNA (255 nucleotides) under Apteryx owenii (little spotted kiwi). RNAcentral's name for it is "lncRNA (ENSAOWG00000008850.1)". Lineage: Eukaryota; Metazoa; Chordata; Aves; Apterygiformes; Apterygidae. The record is from RNAcentral.
GCCGGGGCCUGGCCGGGCUCGUGGGCAAGCGUGGCUACGAGAGUGCCGGCGAGGGCCACCGGGCUGCCCGGGUGGCGGGGGCAGGGCUGCCCUUCUCGGCCAACGGGCGCCCGGCAGCCUCGGGGCUGCGCGCGGGCUCCCAGCCAGCCGCCAAGCGCCAGAAGCUGAACCCCGCCGACGCCCCCAACCCCGUCGUCUUCGUGGCCACCAAGGACACCAGGGCGCUGCGCAAGGCCCUGACGCACCUGGAGAUGC